GUGGGGAAUAUUGGGCAAUGGGGGAAACCCUGACCCAGCAACGCCGCGUGAAGGAAGAAGGUUUUCGGAUCGUAAACUUCUAUCCUUGGUGAAGAUAAUGACGGUAGCCAAGAAGGAAGCCCCGGCUAACUACGUGCCAGCAGCCGCGGUAAUACGUAGGGGGCAAGCGUUGUCCGGAAUGAUUGGGCGUAAAGGGCGCGUAGGCGGCCCGGUAAGUCUGAAGUGAAAGUCCUGCUUUUAAGGUGGGAAUUGCUUUGGAUACUGUCGGGCUUGAGUGCAGGAGAGGUAAGCGGAAUUCCCGGUGUAGCGGUGAAAUGCGUAGAGAUCGGGAGGAACACCAGUGGCGAAGGCGGCUUACUGGACUGUAACUGACGCUGAGGCGCGAAAGUGUGGGGAGCAAACAGGAUUAGAUACCCGGGUAGUCC
Molecule: ribosomal RNA, 425 nt
Filed under: uncultured bacterium
Lineage: Bacteria
Description: partial 16S ribosomal RNA
Rfam family: Bacterial small subunit ribosomal RNA
Source: RNAcentral